UACUGCCACAACAUCUACAGUGUCCAUCAUCAACUGAAGUAUUUGGAGAGAGGCUUAGAUGGUUUCUCCUCACCCCGAAGACCAUGUGCAGGAGGUAUUGCAGUCCUGGAUAUUUGCCAGCUAUCGUUGCGGGGGAGAGCUGCACAGGCAAUGGACCAGCAUCUUCAUCCCAACACCUGCCGCCCCUGAAAGCAGCAGAGCCCGGAUCAGGAGUCCUCGUUCAUGUCACGCACUGCGAGCCUAUGGAGACCAGAAGAGGAAGCAGGCUACAGAUCACUGAGGAAGGGUCUUACUCUCCCUCCAAAUUGUUGGUUGUUAAGGUUAAAGCCCACCAGGACAGCGUGUGCAUGAUUUGCCUUGAUCCUUGUACUGAUCCCAUCGAGCACAGGUUGGGUUAGUAAAUGAGAAAUGAGUGGUAUGAUGUGAAUGUUGGUGUUGAUACUGUGAUAUGGGACACCAGGCAUUGCUAUGGCGAUGAAGCAUUCAUUCCAGAGAAAGCUACCAAAGACCAUGAGCUGCUUAAUCGGGUCAAGUGCAGUUCAGAAGAGCAGACAGAGUGAGUUCUGCUCCUAUUCUGACACACAUACACGCAACCGAGUGCAUGGAUCUAAUAGAACCACUC
This 622-nucleotide long non-coding RNA is filed under the name Carassius auratus (goldfish). RNAcentral's name for it is "lncRNA (ENSCARG00000010275.1)". Lineage: Eukaryota; Metazoa; Chordata; Actinopteri; Cypriniformes; Cyprinidae. The record is from RNAcentral.